Molecule: long non-coding RNA, 282 nt
Organism: Phragmites australis (common reed)
Lineage: Eukaryota; Viridiplantae; Streptophyta; Magnoliopsida; Poales; Poaceae
Exons: 2
Source: RefSeq, a predicted model, not a curated record
UUUGUAGAUUCCAAGAAUGUCCCAUCACUUACGAGUGAUCUUGAGGAUCUAGAUGCCAAUUAUAAUGUAUCGAUGCAUGAGGAUGAGGAGGAGGAAGAAGAAGCAAGUGAUCCAGACAUGAUGCAUGAUGAGGAUGAGCUUUAGGCCCAUAGUGAAGCCGUGAGGAAUAAUGUUUGUCUUGCCAUUUGUGGACAUGAUUCUACUCUUUUGUGUUCUCGUGGUUAUGUAUUACUAGUGUGUUGAAUUAUUGAUCUCUCAACAGUUGCAAAAUCUGCUCUUUUA